CAGCUUUGGCAAGGGUGUAUAAUAUGUUUCAUAUCUCGAUGCUGAGGAAGUAUGUGCCAAAUCCUAGUCACAUGAUAAGAUUCGAACUUAUAGCUUGAUGAUGAUCUCUCUUAUGAGGAGCAGUCUGUCAAAAUUAUAGAUAGAAAAAAAAAUCAAGUUUUGAAAUGGUAUAUCAUAUCUCAUGUGAAAGUCCUAUGGAGAACCACAGC
Molecule: long non-coding RNA, 209 nt
Filed under: Elaeis guineensis (African oil palm)
Lineage: Eukaryota; Viridiplantae; Streptophyta; Magnoliopsida; Arecales; Arecaceae
Description: long non-coding RNA (EGUI_LNC029744)
Source: RNAcentral